UACGAAGGUCCCAAGCGUUACUCGGAAUUACUGGGCGUAAAGAGCUCGUAGGUGGUUUGUCGCGUCGUCUGUGAAAUCCCGGGGCUUAACUCCGGGCGUGCAGGCGAUACGGGCAUAACUUGAGUGCUGUAGGGGAGACUGGAAUUCCUGGUGUAGCGGUGAAAUGCGCAGAUGUCAGGAGGAACACCAAUGGCGAAGGCAGGUCUCUGGGCAGUAACUGACGCUGAGGAGCGAAAGCAUGGGUAGCGAACAGG
Molecule: ribosomal RNA, 254 nt
Filed under: uncultured bacterium
Lineage: Bacteria
Description: partial 16S ribosomal RNA
Rfam family: Bacterial small subunit ribosomal RNA
Source: RNAcentral